RNAcentral lists this transfer RNA (82 nucleotides) under Oryctolagus cuniculus (rabbit). It matches the Rfam family "tRNA". Rfam says of the family: Transfer RNA (tRNA) molecules are approximately 80 nucleotides in length. Lineage: Eukaryota; Metazoa; Chordata; Mammalia; Lagomorpha; Leporidae. The record is from Rfam by way of RNAcentral.
GGUGCUGUGGCAUAGCAGGUAAAGCCACUGCCUGAAGUGCCGGCAUCCCAUAUGGACCUAGGUUAGAGUCCUGGCUGCUCCA